UCUCCCACACAAUGGGCAAAGAGACAUCUUGUUGGUGGUGGCGUUCUUAUAUCAGCCAGGGGCAGAGCAGAUGGCCUUCCUUUGUUCAUCCUAGCCUGAUGCCUGGCUUGGUGGCCACAGCUGUCUUAUGCCCACAACACAUAA
This is a small nucleolar RNA of Apodemus sylvaticus (European woodmouse), 144 nucleotides long. RefSeq annotates it as small nucleolar RNA SNORA48. Lineage: Eukaryota; Metazoa; Chordata; Mammalia; Rodentia; Muridae. The transcript has a single exon. The record is from RefSeq and is a predicted model, not a curated record.